CCUACGGGAGGCAGCAGUGGGGAAUAUUGCACAAUGGGGGAAACCCCGAUGCAGCGACGCCGCGUGAGUGAAGAAAUAUCUCGGUACGUAAAGCUCUAUCAGCAGGGAAGAAAAUGACGGUACCUGACUAAGAAGCCCCGGCUAACUACGUGCCAGCAGCCGCGGUAAUACGAAGGGGGCAAGCGUUAUCCGGAUUUACUGGGUGUAAAGGGAGCGGAGACGGCAGCACAAGUCUGGAGUGAAAUGCCGGGGCUUAACCCCGGCACUGCAUUGGAUACUGUGCGGCUAGAGUGCAGGAGGGGGAAGCGGAAUUCCUGGUGGAGCGGUGAAAUGCGUAGAUAUUAGGAGGAACACCGGUGGCGAAGGCGGCUUACUGGACUGUAACUGACGUUGAGGCUCGAAGGCGUGGGGAGCAAAAGGGAUUAGAUACCCGUGUAGUC
This 440-nucleotide ribosomal RNA is filed under the name uncultured bacterium. RNAcentral describes it as "partial 16S ribosomal RNA". It matches the Rfam family "Bacterial small subunit ribosomal RNA", at positions 338 to 795 of the family's 1533-position model. The record is from RNAcentral.